UAGGGAAUCUUCCACAAUGGACGAAAGUCUGAUGGAGCAACGCCGCGUGAGUGAUGAAGGGUUUCGGCUCGUAAAACUCUGUUGUUGGAGAAGAACAGGUGAUAGAGUAACUGUUAUCAUCUUGACGGUAUCCAACCAGAAAGCCACGGCUAACUACGUGCCAGCAGCCGCGGUAAUACGUAGGUGGCAAGCGUUGUCCGGAUUUAUUGGGCGUAAAAGCGAGCGCAGGCGGUUUUUUAGGUCUGAGUGAAAAGCCUUCGGCUUAACCGGAGAA
This 274-nucleotide ribosomal RNA is filed under the name uncultured bacterium. RNAcentral's name for it is "partial 16S ribosomal RNA". It matches the Rfam family "Bacterial small subunit ribosomal RNA", at positions 355 to 620 of the family's 1533-position model. The record is from RNAcentral.